GAUGAACGCUGGCGGCGUGCUUAACACAUGCAAGUCGAACGGAAAGGCCAGUGCUUGCCCUGGUACUCGAGUGGCGAACGGGUGAGUAACACGUGGGUGAUCUGCCCUGUACUUCGGGAUAAGCUUGGGAAACUGGGUCUAAUACCGGAUAGGACAACUUUUUGGAUAUUGUUGUGGAAAGCUUUUGCGGUAUGGGAUGAGCUCGCGGCCUAUCAGCUUGUUGGUGGGGUAAUGGCCUACCAAGGCGUCGACGGGUAGCCGGCCUGAGAGGGUGUACGGCCACAUUGGGACUGAGAUACGCCCCAGACUCCUACGGGAGGCAGCAGUGGGGAAUAUUGCACAAUGGGCGCAAGCCUGAUGCAGCGACGCCGCGUGGGGGAUGAAGGCCUUCGGGUUGUAAACUCCUUUCGCUAGGGACGAAGCGUAAGUGACGGUACCUGGAGAAGAAGCACCGGCUAACUACGUG
RNAcentral lists this ribosomal RNA (466 nucleotides) under uncultured bacterium. RNAcentral describes it as "partial 16S ribosomal RNA". It matches the Rfam family "Bacterial small subunit ribosomal RNA", at positions 28 to 507 of the family's 1533-position model. The record is from RNAcentral.